GAUGAACGCUGGCGGCGUGCCUAACACAUGCAAGUCGAGCGAACAGACGAGGAGCUUGCUCCUCUGACGUUAGCGGCGGACGGAUGAGUAACAUGUGGAUAACCUACCUAUAAGACUGGGAUAAUCACGGGAAACCGGAGCUAAUACCGGAUAAUAUAUUGAACCGCAUGGUUCAAUAGUGAAAGACGGUUUUGCUGUCACUUAUAGAUGGAUCCGCGCCGCAUUAGCUAGUUGGUAAGGUAACGGCUUACCAAGGCUACGAUGCGUAGCCGACCUGAGAGGGUGGUCGGCCACACUGGAGCGGAGACACGGUCCAGACUCCUGCGGGAGGCAGCAGUAGGGAAUCUUCCGCAAUGGGCGAGAGCUUGACAGAGCAACGCCGCGUGAGUUAUGAAGGUCUUCGGAUCGUAAAGCUCUGUUAUUAGGGGAGAACAAAUGUGUAAGUAACUGUGCACGUCUUGACGGUACCUGGUCAGAAAGCCACGGCUAACUACGUG
Molecule: ribosomal RNA, 497 nt
Filed under: uncultured bacterium
Lineage: Bacteria
Description: partial 16S ribosomal RNA
Rfam family: Bacterial small subunit ribosomal RNA
Source: RNAcentral